CCAAUUUAUUCGUGUAAUUAAAUGCUAGGAUACCAGCUCUUUCAGACCAAUGCAAAGUCUGAUUAGUUCUGAUGAAUAUACCAUGACAAAAUGAAAUCAUCUUUGAUCUUUACCGAGCAAGCCAUCCGAGUAAUAACUGAAAUCUAAUAAUUAGGUGAAGACAGAUGCCUUGCAAUUUCUUUAAGAAACACAGGCUUAAAAGUUUCAGAGAANAGUCAAUCACAUGAUGAGAUAUCACAGUAAACCUCAUCGACUUAUUGAUUAAGACAGUUGUGAUAUAGCUUUGGCUUACCUGUUCAUCCUCUUGGAAUUACCAUGCAGAGCUGUGCACACCUUCCAACUAAAGCGAUUAAAGUUCCGAUAGUAUUUGAAUCAAGAUUUUGCGUGGGUAGGGCAACGUAGGAUNCUCUAAUUACAAGACAAAUUUGACGAUCACACGUCUCUUUUAAUAUUAUUUUAAGGGACUGUGC
This 470-nucleotide unclassified non-coding RNA is filed under the name Exaiptasia diaphana. Its description in RNAcentral is "octopamine receptor Oamb, transcript variant X3". Lineage: Eukaryota; Metazoa; Cnidaria; Anthozoa; Actiniaria; Aiptasiidae. The record is from RNAcentral.